This 328-nucleotide ribosomal RNA is filed under the name uncultured Ferruginibacter sp. Its description in RNAcentral is "bacterial SSU rRNA". It matches the Rfam family "Bacterial small subunit ribosomal RNA", at positions 568 to 898 of the family's 1533-position model. Lineage: Bacteria; Pseudomonadati; Bacteroidota; Chitinophagia; Chitinophagales; Chitinophagaceae. The record is from RNAcentral.
UGCGUAGGUGGGUCUGUAAGUCAGUGGUGAAAUCUCCGGGCUUAACUCGGAAACUGCCAUUGAUACUAUAGGUCUUGAAUUAUCUGGAGGUGAGCGGAAUAUGUCAUGUAGCGGUGAAAUGCUUAGAUAUGACAUAGAACACCAAUUGCGAAGGCAGCUCACUACGGAUAUAUUGACACUGAGGCACGAAAGCGUGGGGAUCAAACAGGAUUAGAUACCCUGGUAGUCCACGCCCUAAACGAUGGAUACUCGACAUACGCGAUACACUGUGUGUGUCUGAGCGAAAGCAUUAAGUAUCCCACCUGGGAAGUACGAUCGCAAGAUUGAA